Long non-coding RNA from Zophobas morio, 565 nucleotides. RefSeq lists it as uncharacterized. NCBI's taxonomy places the organism in Eukaryota, Metazoa, Arthropoda, Insecta, Coleoptera, Tenebrionidae. The transcript is spliced from 2 exons. The record is from RefSeq and is a predicted model, not a curated record.
UUUAAUUUUAAAAACCUGCUCUUAACUUACAGGUUAUCCGCAAAAGUUACUAUCUCUUCUUUGCGGGGUGAUAAGAUGGUCGCUCUCCUUUACCCUUUUUCCCCUUAUUUCGCUAUCAUCUCUACAAAUUUUCUAUCUUAAGACUAUUAGCUUUAUAAAGUUGAAGGGAACAGAGACACUAAGUAAGGAGCAGUAAUACAUUUUAUUAUGUAUGACUAAUGAAACCAGGAGAGGAUUGACUUAAAGCUAGCAACAUAGAGCAGUAAAGGGCGAAAGUGGGCUCUACCGUAGUAGUGGCUCCGGUGCAUGGUAAAGGGGAAGGACCAGCUGUCUGAGCAAAAUUGGGGGGUUCGUCAAAUUUUGAUCAGUAGAAUUGCUGCGUUUAUGUUCCUCAAAGAUUUUGUAUUCUUCCAAAUUCCCCUUAUAAGUGCAAUUUUUACAUAAGUUAAAUUCUUAUAAUGACGCCGUGAGCAGCAAAGUAAUUUUGCAUCAAAUGUGUCACACCUCCUCUUCUAGCAUUGAAAGACUAUGAAGAAGCUUUUAAUAAAAUGCAAACUUAGCAUUC